This 1092-nucleotide long non-coding RNA is filed under the name Apteryx haastii (Great spotted kiwi). RNAcentral's name for it is "lncRNA (ENSAHAG00000012412.1)". Lineage: Eukaryota; Metazoa; Chordata; Aves; Apterygiformes; Apterygidae. The record is from RNAcentral.
AUGGCUGAGGGAGGCCUUUGUGGGGCCACCGCCCACCAAAUCGCCUCACAAAAUGGCAGGUGCCGCCCGCGAGGUUAUUUACGCUUCCCCUCCACCCGUCCCCGCAGACGAGGAUGUGGUGCUGGGUGGGAUCUCCCGGGCUGGCGCCGGAUGUUUGCAGGGCUGUUGGUGUCGCCUCGCGCAGAGCUCCUCGCAGAUGCACCGAGCUCGCUGCAAGACGGCAUUCGGCUUCCUCGCCCCUGCCCUGCUGUCGGGACGUUGCAGCGAAGCCUUAACGCUCUCCCCAGGAAGCGCGCGCCUCUCCAGCCGGGAGAAAGCCCGGGAUGGGGCGCGCGCAACGGCAGAUGGACAACCGGGCGCUCCUGCAAGCGGCACCUCGGCACGGCACGGCGCACCCCUCCCUUCCCCGGGGCCACCACGAAGCCGGCGCCUUUUGUUGUUUCUCCGYGCCGCACCCUGGCCUCUUGCCAGAGGGCCACCACGUCGCGAGGCAGCCGCCCCCGUGCCCCUCGGGCCUGGAGCUCGGCCCUCGYGCCGCGCCGCGGAGGAGGGAAGCGCAGCCGCGGGGCUGCCCCCGGCCUGCCCUCCCCGGGCAGYGGUGAUGCCAUCCUGCACCAGCCCACGAGCGGCGUUUGGCAACCUGGAGCAUCACUCCGAAAAGGGUUAACGCCGGCCACGGGGACACGGGACAAAGCGUGGACCGUGCCGGGGCCGCCCGGGAGAGCGGAGGCGCCGAACAAUAGCGGGCAGGCGCCCAGCAGCCCGGGCACGGCCGGUCCCGCGGCCGGGGCAAGAUGGGGACGUUUCAACCUACCUGCUCUGCUGGCAGAAGGAAAAGGAGCGGAGCGAGCACUCUCCUCUGCUGGAGAGAGGGGGUCCCGUGUGCUCAGCCAGCUCUCCCACGGCACAAAGGACGCCCAGCGGCUGCCAGGUACCAGAUCAUUCAUGGAGGCUAAAGGGAGCUGCUGGCUGGAGACCURGCAUUUUAAGGAGCUUUUCUUUCCUCUUAACAGAGACGAAGGAGUGCCCCAGCUUCAUCUGUCACUACAGCGCCUACUGCAACGAUUCGUAGGCGUUGUGUUAUGUCCUUGA